GAUGAAGAACGCAGCGAAAUGCGAUAAGUAGUGUGAAUUGCAGAAUUCAGUGAAUCAUCGAAUCUUUGAACGCACAUUGCGCCCCUCGGUAUUCCGUGGGGCAUGCCUGUUCGAGCGUCAUUUACCCCUCAAGCACUGCUUGGUGUUGGGCGUCUGUCCCGCUUCGCGCGCGGACUCGCCCCAAAGGUAUUGGCAGCGGUCGUGCCAGCUUCUCGCGCAGCACAUUGCGCUUCUCGAGGCGGUCGAUCGGCGUCCACGGAGCUCACCUCCACCGUUUGACCUCGGAUCAGGUAGGGAUACCCGCUGAACUUAAGCAUAUCAAUAAGCGGAGGA
RNAcentral lists this unclassified non-coding RNA (333 nucleotides) under soil metagenome. RNAcentral describes it as "partial contains 5.8S ribosomal RNA, internal transcribed spacer 2, and large subunit ribosomal RNA". The stretch from base 1 to 120 matches the Rfam family "5.8S ribosomal RNA", at positions 35 to 154 of the family's 154-position model. The record is from RNAcentral.